UUGAACGCUGGCGGCAGGCCUAACACAUGCAAGUCGAGCGGUAGAGAGGUGCUUGCACCUCUUGAGAGCGGCGGACGGGUGAGUAAUGCCUAGGAAUCUGCCUGGUAGUGGGGGAUAACGCUCGGAAACGGACGCUAAUACCGCAUACGUCCUACGGGAGAAAGCAGGGGACCUUCGGGCCUUGCGCUAUCAGAUGAGCCUAGGUCGGAUUAGCUAGUUGGUGAGGUAAUGGCUCACCAAGGCGACGAUCCGUAACUGGUCUGAGAGGAUGAUCAGUCACACUGGAACUGAGACACGGUCCAGACUCCUACGGGAGGCAGCAGUGGGGAAUAUUGGACAAUGGGCGAAAGCCUGAUCCAGCCAUGCCGCGUGUGUGAAGAAGGUCUUCGGAUUGUAAAGCACUUUAAGUUGGGAGGAAGGGCAUUAACCUAAUACGUUAGUGUUUUGACGUUACCGACAGAAUAAGCACCGGCUAACUCUGUGCCAGCAGCCGCGGUAAUACAGAGGGUGCAAGCGUUAAUCGGAAUUACUGGGCGUAAAGCGCGCGUAGGUGGUUCGUUAAGUUGGAUGUGAAAUCCCCGGGCUCAACCUGGGAACUGCAUUCAAAACUGUCGAGCUAGAGUAUGGUAGA
This 631-nucleotide ribosomal RNA is filed under the name Pseudomonas sp. SA16Y. RNAcentral describes it as "bacterial SSU rRNA". It matches the Rfam family "Bacterial small subunit ribosomal RNA", at positions 29 to 655 of the family's 1533-position model. The record is from RNAcentral. Lineage: Bacteria; Pseudomonadati; Pseudomonadota; Gammaproteobacteria; Pseudomonadales; Pseudomonadaceae.